Molecule: long non-coding RNA, 481 nt
Organism: Sinocyclocheilus rhinocerous
Lineage: Eukaryota; Metazoa; Chordata; Actinopteri; Cypriniformes; Cyprinidae
Exons: 2
Source: RefSeq, a predicted model, not a curated record
CUCUGAGAGAGUUUGUGCAGCAUCAGCCUCUGGAAGAACAACACCGCAGCUGAAAUUAGACAUGCAUCCCAUAUUGAUCAGCAUAGUGGCAGCCAACACAAGCUUAUCUAUUGUCUACUGGAACUCUUCUGUCUCAGGUUUUCUGCAAGAAGAUCAAAGAUGCACCACAACCUGAGGAAAUUCCAGUCUGAGUGGAGGCCUUGGUCGUGAUCCUGACGAUGAAGAGGAAGAAGAAGAACCACCAAAACUGAUCUUUGGGAAGGAAGUAGGGAUGAGGGAGAGAAAAUAAGAACAAAGGAGGAACAGACUGCCAUUUGACCCAGAAGUGGACGGAUAGAAAUUCUGCCAGGAUUUAAGUCUUCUGUAUUUGAAAAAUCAUGGGGUUAAAAAGGUGUCACUGAAUAGAUUUAUAAACAACCCUCUCUCUCUUUCAUCCAUUAGUCCAUCUUCACAAGCCCAAAUCUCUUGCUCAACCACUAAU